AUGUGUGUUCUAAAAAAUCAAGGAGGAAUGGGAUUAUGAGAUUUACAUUGUUUCAAUAUGGCAUUGUUAGCUAAACAAGCUUGGCGUCUCCUAGAUAAUCCUGAUUCGCUAUGUGCUACAAUCUUAAGAGCCAACUAUUUCCCCGAGGGCGACUUGAUGAACACAAGCUUAAAAAAGGGUUCCUCCUUCACUUGGCAAACACUGGUGGAAAAACGGCUAGCCACAACUUUCGUUGGUGGCGCACCAUUUUCCAUCAAUGCCAGGCCAACACUAUUUUUUUUUUCAAAUAGUGUUGGCGUUGGCAUAAUUAGCACGUGA
RNAcentral lists this ribosomal RNA (318 nucleotides) under Triticum aestivum (bread wheat). Its description in RNAcentral is "partial small subunit ribosomal RNA". The record is from RNAcentral. Lineage: Eukaryota; Viridiplantae; Streptophyta; Magnoliopsida; Poales; Poaceae.